RNAcentral lists this long non-coding RNA (3862 nucleotides) under Fragaria vesca (wild strawberry). RNAcentral describes it as "long non-coding RNA (FVES_LNC001527)". The record is from RNAcentral. Lineage: Eukaryota; Viridiplantae; Streptophyta; Magnoliopsida; Rosales; Rosaceae.
AUAUUCACAAAGCAUCUCUAAGAUACAUACUACUAUUACAUAAAUCCCCAUAGCACAAUACAAAAAGGACUAGACCAAUAUAAUAAGAUUUACAGAUGUGAAUGCUCCCUAUCUCUCUCUCUUGAUGAAUGUAAAGAAAUGACCACAUAAUUCUAUUGCCGAGACCAACAACCUUGUAAAUCUAUUGCCGAAACCAGCAUCACCAGUCCCAUACCAGAUGAUCGCAGGAGAUGACUGCCUUAGGUUUACAGAUACAACAACCGAACAACAGUGCUCCACAUCUCAAGUCUUGCCUCCCACAUUGACACUAGGCAGCAGCAACAUGAAUGCCCGUUUUCAUGCUUGGAGCACUUGACAGUGUACAAUGUGACUCUUCAAACCAGUUCGGCCUGCUAUACUUGACCAUAGAUUUGAGACUAGAGUUCUGAAAUGACCUUUACCAGCAAUAUUUUCCCAAAGGUUAGGGUUGCUUUCCACCUGUUUAUCCCGACUCGAAAUAUCAACUAAACUGAUGCUCAUGUUAUUACGAAUAAUGCAAAGCUUCCCAUUGAGGGGAACAAGUGCAGUGUUGGCAUAUUUGGUUUAGGCUUUUCGGAGGUAUAGAUAAACAUGAAUGUUGGGAGGAUUAAAGGAAUAAUGUGGAUGCAAAACAUAAGACUAAACAAAUUAAGAAGAAACACUAAAAUAAGAACAUAAUAUUAAUGGAGAUGUGCAGCCCGAAGGCAUGCACAGAGCUCCUAGCCUAUCAAGAUGACUACCUUAUAGAAUAGGCUUUUAGAUAAGAAACAAAGAGGAUUGGAUUAAAAACUUGAUUCAACUUCAUACUGUGAGUGGAAGAUUACACCAUCCUUAUAUAGGUUUAGAUGCACAGCUACAAGAGUAUUUGACUCAGUUGUUUGCAAGCUUAAAAUAGUUGUAUAGCAACUCAUAUCAAGCAGUGUAAAGUGUAAACCCUUUUUUUGUAUGAUCUGGUGUAAUUGCAUAGAGUCUAUUAAAAGCAAUAUAUGAAUCAUUUUCAGCACUCUCUUCUGAUAGUUCUGAUUUUGUAGUCUUUGAUUUCAAUUCAGUUGAACAUUUAGAUAUGGGAGGUAAUUAAAAGACUGGACUGUAACCAAAUGAAGUACUUGUGGGAGCUGGUUGGUUGGAGCCAACUUUGAUGGUGCUUUCAAUACCAGUUUGGCUAAGGGUGGUGUGGUACUGGGGGACUCAAAUGGCGACAUAGCUGAGGAACUUGUAUGCAAGUUGCUUCUUCACCGAUCGAAAUUGAUGCCAGGGCUGCUAGAGUCACUUGUCCUUUGGCUAUGCAAUCAUAGCUUGUUCCUGGCAGUUUUGAAGGGCUCUGCGUGCAGGUUAUUCAUGCUGUCAACUAAUGCUAGGCAGGAUGACACAUCUAUUUGGGGUCUUUUAAUUUAUGAUUCGGCAUUUUAUUGAACCAGUUGCCUAUUCUUCUUUCUCCCAUCCCAUCGUUUAUAUGUUUCAAGUGAACUGAACAAGUGUUGUGUUUGUGUUUUGGUGAUUUUUUUUCUUUUAUUUAUUGCUACCACAACAAUCUAUGGACUCAUAAAAUCCAAGAGUAUACUAGUAAAUCAAUUCAAUAAAAUCUGUUAGACUCUAUAGGGAAUUUAAAUAAUCCAUGGAGUUGGCAAAAUCUAUGAAUUAUUAAGAGUCAACGAAAAUCUUUUAAAAUCUAAAUUGAAUACACCCCCCUUAAAUUAGUACUAAAUUGACAAUUUUCCUUUACUCAAUCGAUGAUAAGUGAGGAGUCGCCUUCAAUCUGAUCGACUCUUAGCCUCAAGGAGCCAUUCUCUCAAAGCAACGCAUUUAGAGUUGUGAAGCUCCCGCCCACUGAACAUAAUAGGAAAACCAGAGGAAUCUAAUUAUGAAACUGCAAGCUUGAUUUUUUUCAAUUGGUAAAACAAAGGAGGAAGCUUGAUUUUGCUUCCAAUUGCAUGUUCCGUGCAUGAAUAAGAAUAAAAUGGUAUGUGUAUGAAGUCAAUUGCCUAUAUAUGGGCAUGAAAGUUCAAAAAUUGCAGCAAAAGAACUAAAUAGAGAUUGUUACUAUGUAGAUAGGGAUAUAUAUAUGAGGAACCUGAUUGAGAUCUUAGUUUUUUUUUUUUUUUUUUAGUAGUAUCAACGACGGUAUCUUCAAAGGUUUUUCAGGCCCAAAGAUUAAUCCGCGCCGAGAGAUCAUAUGAGAACGCUUUCUCCCCCCUGCCACCAAGAAUAAAUUGGGAUUUUAACUCCAAUUAGCGUCAGCUGAGAUUCGAACCUGGAUAUGAGGAUUCCACACCUAGGCUCUUACCAACUCGACCACAUGUGGUGGUUCUGAUUGAGAUCUAGUUAAUUGAUUGAAUACUAUAUGUUUUAUGAUGGACUCGGACAUAAAUCAAUGUUGUAAAGAAACACCUCAUUGAUUUGGAUGGUUGAGCUUGCCGUCAAUAAUGGAUAUGGUUCAUCAACCAAACGUUCACAUUAGCAUGCACUAAUUAACAAUAGUUUUUUCGAUACUGUCCAAUUUAACCACAGUUUGAGACCAUGGUCCAAAUUUCAUAAUUAGAUCAAUUGGUUAUUCAUAAGGUCUCCAUCAUCCAUCUUUAUCCACGAGGAAGAGUCAGCAUAUAUUACUGGUUAUUCACAACCAUUUGUUAAUGGUUUAUGACCAAUGCGAUUGAUGACUUGAAAGUUAUAGAGCUAAUUUUUUUCACCUAGUUGGCAAUAGAAUACCAACUCAUGCUUCUAAGUUAGAGGUAUUGAUCAUGCUAUAAAUACACCAUUGAGAACACUGCAGCCAACACAAAGGGAUUCUGAAGCACAGUUCUCUCCAAACCCCGAAAUCCGACAUCAAGAAUUAUUUGAGUUUUCUUACCAAAAGCAGCUGUCAUGGAUGCUCGUCGAGAGGUUGCUGCGACUGGAAGCCAACGAGUGGUGCAGAAGGAAAGGGAUAAUGCAAAGAAACAGGCAAUGAGCAGAAGGAUGAUGGCAGCCGAUGCUCAAGGCGACAUUAAUGAUAUGGCUGAUGCCUUCAUCAAGAAGUUCAGGAACCAGCUAAAGAUUCAAAGGGAAGAAUCAUUCAAAAGGCUUCAGGAAAUGCUUGCUCGUGGAGUUUAAAACUUCAGCUUGUGUCGUGUGAACAAAAUAACUAGCAAUGUUCAGAUAUAUUGAAAUGGUUUGUUGGCUUGUAGCCUUAAAGAUCAAUAAAGAUGGAGCAAUGGCGACCGAUUGAAUAAAUAGUUUGCUCGAUUCUUACAUGACUUUUCCUGUAAUCCACUGUUUCAAUUUUUUGCUGGUCUAUGAAGAACACUGAUUAUAUAUCCAAGAGCAAAUAGAAGACUAAACUACUGGAAAGCCUACCAAUUUGCAGAGAUGAGCACGUAUAUAUUGAAUGAUCUCUAAUCACCCACGUAUAUUCACAAAGCAUCUCUAAGAUACAUACUACUAUUACAUAAAUCCCCAUAGCACAAUACAAAAAGGCCUAGACCAAUAUAAUAAGAUUUACAGAUGUGAAUGCUCCCUAUCUCUCUCUCUUGAUGAAUGUAAAGAAAUGACCACAUAAUUCUAUUGCCGAGACCAACAACCUUGUAAAUCUAUUGCCGAAACCAACAUCACCAGUCCCAUACCAGACGAUCGCAGGAGAUGACUGCCUUAGGUUUAUGGAUACAACAACUGAACAACAGUGCUCCACAUCUCAAGUCUUGCUUCCCACAUUGACACUAAGCAGAAACAACAUGAAUGCCCGUUUUCAUGCUUGAAGCACUUGACAGUGUACAAUGUGACUCUUCAAACCAGUUCGGCCUGCUAUACUUGACCAUAAAUUUGAGACUAGAGUUCUGAAAUGACCUUUACCAGCAAUAUUUUCCCAAAG